This 1203-nucleotide ribosomal RNA is filed under the name Bacillus sp. (in: firmicutes). RNAcentral describes it as "bacterial SSU rRNA". It matches the Rfam family "Bacterial small subunit ribosomal RNA", at positions 28 to 1215 of the family's 1533-position model. The record is from RNAcentral. Lineage: Bacteria; Bacillati; Bacillota; Bacilli; Caryophanales; Bacillaceae.
GACGAACGCUGGCGGCGUGCCUAAUACAUGCAAGUCGAGCGGACAGAAGGGAGCUUGCUCCCGGAUGUUAGCGGCGGACGGGUGAGUAACACGUGGGUAACCUGCCUGUAAGACUGGGAUAACUCCGGGAAACCGGAGCUAAUACCGGAUAGUUCCUUGAACCGCAUGGUUCAAGGAUGAAAGACGGUUUCGGCUGUCACUUACAGAUGGACCCGCGGCGCAUUAGCUAGUUGGUGAGGUAACGGCUCACCAAGGCGACGAUGCGUAGCCGACCUGAGAGGGUGAUCGGCCACACUGGGACUGAGACACGGCCCAGACUCCUACGGGAGGCAGCAGUAGGGAAUCUUCCGCAAUGGACGAAAGUCUGACGGAGCAACGCCGCGUGAGUGAUGAAGGUUUUCGGAUCGUAAAGCUCUGUUGUUAGGGAAGAACAAGUGCAAGAGUAACUGCUUGCACCUUGACGGUACCUAACCAGAAAGCCACGGCUAACUACGUGCCAGCAGCCGCGGUAAUACGUAGGUGGCAAGCGUUGUCCGGAAUUAUUGGGCGUAAAGGGCUCGCAGGCGGUUUCUUAAGUCUGAUGUGAAAGCCCCCGGCUCAACCGGGGAGGGUCAUUGGAAACUGGGAAACUUGAGUGCAGAAGAGGAGAGUGGAAUUCCACGUGUAGCGGUGAAAUGCGUAGAGAUGUGGAGGAACACCAGUGGCGAAGGCGACUCUCUGGUCUGUAACUGACGCUGAGGAGCGAAAGCGUGGGGAGCGAACAGGAUUAGAUACCCUGGUAGUCCACGCCGUAAACGAUGAGUGCUAAGUGUUAGGGGGUUUCCGCCCCUUAGUGCUGCAGCUAACGCAUUAAGCACUCCGCCUGGGGAGUACGGUCGCAAGACUGAAACUCAAAGGAAUUGACGGGGGCCCGCACAAGCGGUGGAGCAUGUGGUUUAAUUCGAAGCAACGCGAAGAACCUUACCAGGUCUUGACAUCCUCUGACAACCCUAGAGAUAGGGCUUUCCCUUCGGGGACAGAGUGACAGGUGGUGCAUGGUUGUCGUCAGCUCGUGUCGUGAGAUGUUGGGUUAAGUCCCGCAACGAGCGCAACCCUUGAUCUUAGUUGCCAGCAUUCAGUUGGGCACUCUAAGGUGACUGCCGGUGACAAACCGGAGGAAGGUGGGGAUGACGUCAAAUCAUCAUGCCCCUUAUGACCUGGGCU